GCCAGGUGUGGUGGCGCAUGCCUGUAGUUCCAGCUACUCGGGAGGCUGAGGCAGGAGAACUGCCUGAGCCCAGGAGUUCGAGGCUGCAGUGAGCCAUAAUUGUGCCAUUGCACUCUAGCCUGGGCAACAGAGGAAGACCCUGUCUCUG
Molecule: signal recognition particle RNA, 148 nt
Filed under: Nomascus leucogenys (northern white-cheeked gibbon)
Lineage: Eukaryota; Metazoa; Chordata; Mammalia; Primates; Hylobatidae
Description: Metazoan signal recognition particle RNA
Rfam family: Metazoan signal recognition particle RNA
About the family: The signal recognition particle (SRP) is a universally conserved ribonucleoprotein. It is involved in the co-translational targeting of proteins to membranes. The eukaryotic SRP consists of a 300-nucleotide 7S RNA and six proteins: SRPs 72, 68, 54, 19, 14, and 9.
Source: Rfam by way of RNAcentral